This 1287-nucleotide ribosomal RNA is filed under the name metagenome. RNAcentral's name for it is "bacterial SSU rRNA". It matches the Rfam family "Bacterial small subunit ribosomal RNA", at positions 242 to 1520 of the family's 1533-position model. The record is from RNAcentral.
UAGCUAGUUGGUGAGGUAAAGGCUUACCAAGGCGACGAUCUGUAGCGGGUCUGAGAGGAUGAUCCGCCACACUGGAACUGAGACACGGUCCAGACUCCUACGGGAGGCAGCAGUGGGGAAUUUUGGACAAUGGGGGCAACCCUGAUCCAGCCAUGCCGCGUGAGUGAAGAAGGCCUUCGGGUUGUAAAGCUCUUUCGGCCGGGAAGAAAUCGCAUGGGCCAAUACCCUGUGUGGAUGACGGUACCGGAAUAAGAAGCACCGGCUAACUACGUGCCAGCAGCCGCGGUAAUACGUAGGGUGCGAGCGUUAAUCGGAAUUACUGGGCGUAAAGCGUGCGCAGGCGGUUUUGUAAGACAGGCGUGAAAUCCCCGGGCUUAACCUGGGAACUGCGUUUGUGACUGCAAGGCUAGAGUACGGCAGAGGGGGGUGGAAUUCCACGUGUAGCAGUGAAAUGCGUAGAGAUGUGGAGGAACACCAAUGGCGAAGGCAGCCCCCUGGGUCGAUACUGACGCUCAUGCACGAAAGCGUGGGUAGCAAACAGGAUUAGAUACCCUGGUAGUCCACGCCCUAAACUAUGUCAACUAGGUGUUGGGUGGGUAAAACCAUUUAGUACCGUAGCUAACGCGUGAAGUUGACCGCCUGGGGAGUACGGCCGCAAGGUUAAAACUCAAAGGAAUUGACGGGGACCCGCACAAGCGGUGGAUGAUGUGGAUUAAUUCGAUGCAACGCGAAAAACCUUACCUACCCUUGACAUGCCAGGAACUUGCCAGAGAUGGCUUGGUGCCCGAAAGGGAGCCUGGACACAGGUGCUGCAUGGCUGUCGUCAGCUCGUGUCGUGAGAUGUUGGGUUAAGUCCCGCAACGAGCGCAACCCUUGUCGUUAAUUGCCAUCAUUUGGUUGGGCACUUUAACGAGACUGCCGGUGACAAACCGGAGGAAGGUGGGGAUGACGUCAAGUCCUCAUGGCCCUUAUGGGUAGGGCUUCACACGUCAUACAAUGGUCGGUACAAAGGGUUGCCAAGCCGCGAGGCGGAGCCAAUCCCAGAAAGCCGAUCGUAGUCCGGAUUGCAGGCUGCAACUCGCCUGCAUGAAGUCGGAAUCGCUAGUAAUCGUGGAUCAGCAUGUCACGGUGAAUACGUUCCCGGGUCUUGUACACACCGCCCGUCACACCAUGGGAGCGGGUUCCGCCAGAAGUAGGUAGCCUAACCGCAAGGGGGGCGCUUACCACGGCGGGGUUCGUGACUGGGGUGAAGUCGAAACAAGGUAGCCGUAGGGGAACCUGCGGCUG